Molecule: ribosomal RNA, 3135 nt
Filed under: Hoyosella subflava DQS3-9A1
Lineage: Bacteria; Bacillati; Actinomycetota; Actinomycetes; Mycobacteriales; Hoyosellaceae
Also listed under: 1 other name
Description: bacterial LSU rRNA
Rfam family: Bacterial large subunit ribosomal RNA
Source: RNAcentral
UUGUAAGUGUUUAAGGGCGCAUGGUGGAUGCCUUGGCAUCAGGAGCCGAUGAAGGACGUGGGAGGCCGCGAUAGGCCUCGGGGAGCUGUCAGCCGAGCUGUGAUCCGAGGGUGUCCGAAUGGGGAAACCCAGCACGAGUGAUGUCGUGUUACCUGCCGUUGAAUGUAUAGACGGUGUGGAGGGAACGCGGGGAAGUGAAACAUCUCAGUACCUGCAGGAAGAGAAAACAAUUGAGUGAUUCCGUGAGUAGUGGCGAGCGAAAGCGGAUGGUGGCUAAACCUUGUGCGUGUGAUACCCGGCGGGGGUUGCGUAUGAGGGGUUGUGGGGCAGUGUUGUUCUGUUACCGCCGUGACAGUCAGAUCCAGUGUGUGUGUUAGCGGAAGCCGCUUGGGAUGGUGUGCCGGAGAGGGUGAGAGUCCCGUACGCGAAAAUGUAUGCCUGGUCUGUGACGUUGUACCCGAGUAGCAGCGGGCCCGUGAAAUCUGCUGUGAAUCUGCCGGGACCACCCGGUAAGCCUGAAUACUCCCUGAUGACCGAUAGUGGAUAAGUACCGUGAGGGAAUGGUGAAAAGUACCCCGGGAGGGGAGUGAAAUAGUACCUGAAACCAUGCGCUUACAAUCCGUCAGAGCCUUCCCUUUUGGGGUGGGGUGAUGGCGUGCCUUUUGAAGAAUGAGCCUGCGAGUUAGUGGCAUGUCGCGAGGUUAACCCGUGAGGGGCAGCCGUAGCGAAAGCGAGUCUGAAUAGGGCGUCGCAGUGGCAUGUUCUAGGCCCGAAGCGGAGUGAUCUACCCAUGGCCAGGGUGAAGCGUCGGUAAGACGUCGUGGAGGCCCGAACCCACUUAGGUUGAAAACUGAGGGGAUGAGUUGUGGGUAGGGGUGAAAGGCCAAUCAAACUCCGUGAUAGCUGGUUCUCCCCGAAAUGCAUUUAGGUGCAGCGUCACGUGUUUCUUGCCGGAGGUAGAGCUACUGGAUGGCCGAUGGGCCUCACCAGGUUACUGACGUCAGCCAAACUCCGAAUGCCGGUAAGUGAGAGCGUGGCAGUGAGACUGCGGGCGAUAAGGUUCGCUGGUCGAGAGGGAAACAGCCCAGAUCGCCGGCUAAGGCCCCUAAGCGUGUGCUAAGUGGAAAAGGAUGUGGGACCGCUCAGACAGCCAGGAGGUUGGCUUAGAAGCAGCCACCCUUGAAAGAGUGCGUAAUAGCUCACUGGUCUAGUGGUCCUGCGCCGAUAAUGUAGCGGGGCUCAAGCACACCGCCGAAGCCGCGGCACUCCAGCAUGUCAUCCGCAUACCCCUUUUUGGGGUGUGUGCAGUGGCUGGGGUGGGUAGGGGAGCGUCCUGCAUCCAGGGAAGCAGCCGUGUGAACGAGUUGUGGAGGGUGUGGGAGUGAGAAUGCAGGCAUGAGUAGCGAAAGCAGAGUGAGAAACUCUGCCGCCGGAUGACCAAGGGUUCCUGGGGCAGGUUAAUCCGCCCAGGGUGAGUCGGGACCUAAGGCGAGGCCGACAGGCGUAGUCGAUGGAUAACGGGUUGAUAUUCCCGUACCCGUGUGGGCGCGUCCGUGGUGAAUCGGUGAUACUAACCACCCAGAAGCCCUCUGUCCCGCUUCGGCGGGUGUGAGGGUGGAUGCGUGGGACCUGAUCCGGUAGUAGCCAAGCGAUGGGGUGACGCAGGAAGGUAGUGGGGCCAGUCAGUGGUAAUACUGGUGUAAACCUGUAGCCCGGUGGAUAGGUAAAUCCGUCUGCCAUUGAAGGGUGAGAGGUGAUGCGACCCCGUUGAGGGGGAUUCCAUGAUCCUAUGCUGCCGAGAAAAGCCUCUAGCGAGUUCCCGCAUGGCCCGUACCCCAAACCGACACAGGUGGUCAGGUAGAGAAUACUAAGGCGCUCGAGUUAACUGUGGUUAAGGAACUCGGCAAAAUGCCCCCGUAACUUCGGGAGAAGGGGGACCACGCCCGGUGAGCCACCAUUGCGUGGGGAGCUGGGGGUGGUCGCAGAGACCAGAGAGAAGCGACUGUUUACUAAAAACACAGGUCCGUGCGAAGCCGCAAGGCGAGGUAUACGGACUGACGCCUGCCCGGUGCUGGAAGGUUAAGAGGACCGGUUAGCCCGUAAGGGCGAAGCUGAGAAUUUAAGCCCCAGUAAACGGCGGUGGUAACUAUAACCAUCCUAAGGUAGCGAAAUUCCUUGUCGGGUAAGUUCCGACCUGCACGAAUGGCGUAACGACUUCUCUGCUGUCUCAACCACAGGCUCGGUGAAAUUGCAUUACGAGUAAAGAUGCUCGUUACGCGCGGCAGGACGAAAAGACCCCGGGACCUUUACUGCAGCUUGGUAUUGGUGUCUGGUUCGGUUUGUGUAGGAUAGGUGGGAGACUGUGAAACCCUCACGCCAGUGGGGGCGGAGUCGUUGUUGAAAUACCACUCUGACCGGAUUGGGCAUCUAACCUCGGACCCUGAACGGGUUCAGGGACAGUGCCUGGUGGGUAGUUUAACUGGGGCGGUUGCCUCCUAAAAAGUAACGGAGGCGCCCAAAGGUUCCCUCAGCCUGGUUGGCAAUCAGGUGUUGAGUGCAAGUGCACAAGGGAGCUUGACUGUGAGACGUACAUGUCGAGCAGGGACGAAAGUCGGGACUAGUGAUCCGGCACCCCCGAGUGGAAGGGGUGUCGCUCAACGGAUAAAAGGUACCCCGGGGAUAACAGGCUGAUCUUCCCCAAGAGUCCAUAUCGACGGGAUGGUUUGGCACCUCGAUGUCGGCUCGUCGCAUCCUGGGGCUGGAGUAGGUCCCAAGGGUUGGGCUGUUCGCCCAUUAAAGCGGCACGCGAGCUGGGUUUAGAACGUCGUGAGACAGUUCGGUCUCUAUCCGCCGCGCGCGUUAAGAAACUUGAGGAAACCUGUCCCUAGUACGAGAGGACCGGGACGGACGGACCUCUGGUAUGCCAGUUGUCCCACCAGGGGCACGGCUGGUUAGCCACGUCCGGAAGGGAUAACCGCUGAAAGCAUCUAAGCGGGAAGCCCGUUCCAAGAUGAGGUUUCUCACCAACACGAUUGGGUAAGGCCCCCCACAGACCAUGGGGUUGAUAGGCCAGAACUGGAAGCACGGCAACGUGUGCAGGUGACUGGUACUAACCGGCCGAGGACUUACACACAA